Molecule: ribosomal RNA, 779 nt
Filed under: uncultured archaeon
Lineage: Archaea
Description: bacterial SSU rRNA
Rfam family: Archaeal small subunit ribosomal RNA
Source: RNAcentral
ACGGGGUGCAGCAGGCGCGAAACCUCCGCAAUACACGAAAGUGUGACGGGGUUACCCAAAGUGUUCUAUUUAGAACUGUGGUAGGUGAGUAAUGUCCCCUACUAGAAAGAAGAGGGCAAGGCUGGUGCCAGCCGCCGCGGUAAAACCAGCUCUUCAAGUGGUCGGGAUAAUUAUUGGGCUUAAAGUGUCCGUAGCCGGUUUAGUAAGUUCCUGGUAAAAUCGGGUAGCUUAACUAUCUAUAUGCUAGGAAUACUACUAUACUAGAGGGCGGGAGAGGUCUGAGGUACUACAGGGGUAGGGGUGAAAUCUUAUAAUCCUUGUAGGACCACCAGUGGCGAAGGCGUCAGACUGGAACGCGCCUGACGGUGAGGGACGAAAGCCAGGGGAGCGAACCGGAUUAGAUACCCGGGUAGUCCUGGCCGUAAACGAUGCAUACUAGGUGAUGGCAUGGCCAUGAGCCAUGUCAGUGCCGUAGGGAAACCGUUAAGUGUGCCGCCUGGGAAGUACGGUCGCAAGGCUAAAACUUAAAGGAAUUGGCGGGGGAGCACCACAAGGGGUGAAGCCUGCGGUUCAAUUGGACUCAACGCCGGAAAACUUACCAGGGGAGACAGCAGUAUGACGGUCAGGUUGACGACCUUACCUAACGAGCUGAGAGGAGGUGCAUGGCCGUCGCCAGUUCGUGCCGUGAGGUAUCCUGUUAAGUCAGGCAACGAACGAGAUCCGCACCUUUAUUUGCCACCAAGAAGUCACGACUUCGUUGGGAACACUAAAGGGACCGC